ACUCAAAUGAAUUGACGGGGACCCGCACAAGUGGUGGAGCAUGCGGUUUAAUUCGAUGGUAAGCGAGGAACCUUACCUAGGCUUGACAUGUACCUGCAUACAUUAGAAAUAGUGUAGCCUUCGAGGGUGGUACACAGGUGCUGCACGGUUGUCGUCAGCUCGUGCCGUGAGGUGUUCACUUAAGUGUGAAAACGAGCGCAACCCCUAUCAUAAGUUACAAGUGUCUUAUGAAACUGCCGGCGUUUAAGCCGGAGGAAGGCGGGGAUGACGUCAAAUCAGCGUGGCUCUUACGCCUAGGGCGACACGCGUGCUACAAUGGGAAGUCACAAAGGGACGCCAAAGAGUAAUCUGGAGCAAAUCCUUUAAACCUUCCCUCAGUUCGGAUUGAGGGCUGCAACUCGCCCUCAUGAAGUUGGAAUCACUAGUAACCGUGGAUCAGCCUCGCCACGGUGAAUACGUUCUCGGGUUUUGUACACACCGCCCGU
RNAcentral lists this ribosomal RNA (485 nucleotides) under uncultured bacterium. RNAcentral describes it as "partial 16S ribosomal RNA". It matches the Rfam family "Bacterial small subunit ribosomal RNA", at positions 899 to 1397 of the family's 1533-position model. The record is from RNAcentral.